GGACACAUUGAGCACUGAUUUUUCGAACGCACAUUGCGGCCUCGGGUUCUGCCCGGGGCCUCGCCUGUCUGAGGGUCGGAUAAGACUUGCAAAGGAAAGUUCGCUUUCCAAUUGGCCGCGUCGGAGCCCAUCAAACGGCUUCGUCGGCUCAAGUAAAGAUAGGAUCCUCCCCGGUCGAGAGAGCGCGAGCCCUUGUGCAUGCUCGUCGACAGGAGAAGACGGAAAACGUUUCUCCGAGAGGACGAGACGGCUCGGUGCUGAGAAGACCGUUCUGUGGGGAUGAGAACCUACGCGGACUCCGAAAGGAAGUUCGUGCCAAACUCUUUUUUAACUUUGACGACCUCAGAUCAGACGAGAUGACCCGCUYAAUUUAAGCCUAUC
This 381-nucleotide ribosomal RNA is filed under the name Guizygiella nadleri. Its description in RNAcentral is "eukaryotic LSU rRNA". The record is from RNAcentral. Lineage: Eukaryota; Metazoa; Arthropoda; Arachnida; Araneae; Tetragnathidae.